RNAcentral lists this signal recognition particle RNA (293 nucleotides) under Phascolarctos cinereus (koala). Its description in RNAcentral is "Metazoan signal recognition particle RNA (ENSPCIG00000029582.2)". It matches the Rfam family "Metazoan signal recognition particle RNA". Rfam says of the family: The signal recognition particle (SRP) is a universally conserved ribonucleoprotein. It is involved in the co-translational targeting of proteins to membranes. The record is from RNAcentral. Lineage: Eukaryota; Metazoa; Chordata; Mammalia; Diprotodontia; Phascolarctidae.
AGCAGGCCCAGAUGCAUGCCUGUAAUUCCUGCUACUGGGAAGUCUCAGACUGGAGGCACUCUUGAGCUUGUAAGUUCUGAGCUGCAGUAAACUACACUGAUCAAGUGCCAGCACUAAGUCUAGCAUCAAUAUGGUGAGUCCCUUGCACUGGGGGUUUCCAGGAUGCCUAAGGAGGGACAAUCCAGCCCAGGUCAGAAAGGAUGAAAGUUAAAGCUCACAUGCCAAUCAUUAGUGGGGUGGGGCCUUUGAGUAGCCCCUGUACUUUCAGCCUGAGACAGAGAGACACAGUCUUU